CGCCUGUUUAACAAAAACAUGUCUUUUUGAUUUUAAUUUAAAGUCUGACCUGCCCACUGAAAUAUUUUAAAUGGCCGCAGUAUACUAACUGUGCAAAGGUAGCAUAAUCAUUAGUCUUUUAAUUGAAGGCUGGUAUGAAUGGUUGGACGAAAUAUUAACUGUUUCAUGAAAAUUUAUAAUAGAAUUUUAUUUUUUAGUCAAAAAGCUAAAAUUUAUUUAAAAGACGAGAAGACCCUAUAAAUCUUUAUAUUUAUAUUAUUAUAAUUUUGUAGAUUCUUUUUAUUAUAAUAAUAGAUUAUAUUUUAUUGGGGUGAUAUUAAAAUUUAAUAAACUUUUAAUUUUUUAAAUCAUUAAUUUAUGAAUAAUUGAUCCGUUAUUAGCGAUUAAAAAAACAAGUUACUUUAGGGAUAACAGCGUAAUUUUUUUGGAGAGAACAUAUCGAUAAAAAAGAUUGCGACCUCGAUGUUGGAUUAAGAUAUAAUUUUAGGUGUAGCCGCUUAAAUUUUAAGUCUGUCCGACUUUUAAAUUCUUACGUGAUCUGAGUUCAGACCGG
RNAcentral lists this ribosomal RNA (553 nucleotides) under Lucilia sericata (common green bottle fly). RNAcentral describes it as "partial 16S ribosomal RNA". It matches the Rfam family "Bacterial large subunit ribosomal RNA", at positions 1797 to 2619 of the family's 2925-position model. The record is from RNAcentral. Lineage: Eukaryota; Metazoa; Arthropoda; Insecta; Diptera; Calliphoridae.